RNAcentral lists this ribosomal RNA (1465 nucleotides) under Escherichia coli. RNAcentral describes it as "partial 23S ribosomal RNA". It matches the Rfam family "Bacterial large subunit ribosomal RNA", at positions 1 to 1512 of the family's 2925-position model. The record is from RNAcentral. Lineage: Bacteria; Pseudomonadati; Pseudomonadota; Gammaproteobacteria; Enterobacterales; Enterobacteriaceae.
GGUUAAGCGACUAAGCGUACACGGUGGAUGCCCUGGCAGUCAGAGGCGAUGAAGGACGUGCUAAUCUGCGAUAAGCGUCGGUGAGGUGAUAUGAACCGUUAUAACCGGCGAUUUCCGAAUGGGGAAACCCAGUGUGUUUCGACACACUAUCAUUAACUGAAUCCAUAGGUUAAUGAGGCGAACCGGGGGAACUGAAACAUCUAAGUACCCCGAGGAAAAGAAAUCAACCGAGAUUCCCCCAGUAGCGGCGAGCGAACGGGGAGGAGCCCAGAGCCUGAAUCAGUGUGUGUGUUAGUGGAAGCGUCUGGAAAGGCGUGCGAUACAGGGUGACAGCCCCGUACACAAAAAUGCACAUAUUGUGAGCUCGAUGAGUAGGGCGGGACACGUGGUAUCCUGUCUGAAUAUGGGGGGACCAUCCUCCAAGGCUAAAUACUCCUGACUGACCGAUAGUGAACCAGUACCGUGAGGGAAAGGCGAAAAGAACCCCGGCGAGGGGAGUGAAAAAGAACCUGAAACCGUGUACGUACAAGCAGUGGGAGCCUCUUAAUGGGGUGACUGCGUACCUUUUGUAUAAUGGGUCAGCGACUUAUAUUCUGUAGCAAGGUUAACCGAAUAGGGGAGCCGAAGGGAAACCGAGUCUUAACUGGGCGUUAAGUUGCAGGGUAUAGACCCGAAACCCGGUGAUCUAGCCAUGGGCAGGUUGAAGGUUGGGUAACACUAACUGGAGGACCGAACCGACUAAUGUUGAAAAAUUAGCGGAUGACUUGUGGCUGGGGGUGAAAGGCCAAUCAAACCGGGAGAUAGCUGGUUCUCCCCGAAAGCUAUUUAGGUAGCGCCUCGUGAAUUCAUCUCCGGGGGUAGAGCACUGUUUCGGCAAGGGGGUCAUCCCGACUUACCAACCCGAUGCAAACUGCGAAUACCGGAGAAUGUUAUCACGGGAGACACACGGCGGGUGCUAACGUCCGUCGUGAAGAGGGAAACAACCCAGACCGCCAGCUAAGGUCCCAAAGUCAUGGUUAAGUGGGAAACGAUGUGGGAAGGCCCAGACAGCCAGGAUGUUGGCUUAGAAGCAGCCAUCAUUUAAAGAAAGCGUAAUAGCUCACUGGUCGAGUCGGCCUGCGCGGAAGAUGUAACGGGGCUAAACCAUGCACCGAAGCUGCGGCAGCGACACUAUGUGUUGUUGGGUAGGGGAGCGUUCUGUAAGCCUGUGAAGGUGGCCUGUGAGGGUUGCUGGAGGUAUCAGAAGUGCGAAUGCUGACAUAAGUAACGAUAAAGCGGGUGAAAAGCCCGCUCGCCGGAAGACCAAGGGUUCCUGUCCAACGUUAAUCGGGGCAGGGUGAGUCGACCCCUAAGGCGAGGCCGAAAGGCGUAGUCGAUGGGAAACAGGUUAAUAUUCCUGUACUUGGUGUUACUGCGAAGGGGGGACGGAGAAGGCUAUGUUGGCCGGGCGACGGUUGUCCCGGUU